RNAcentral lists this ribosomal RNA (460 nucleotides) under uncultured bacterium. Its description in RNAcentral is "partial 16S ribosomal RNA". It matches the Rfam family "Bacterial small subunit ribosomal RNA", at positions 338 to 795 of the family's 1533-position model. The record is from RNAcentral.
CCUACGGGGGGCAGCAGUGAGGAAUAUUGGUCAAUGGACGAGAGUCUGAACCAGCCAAGUAGCGUGAAGGAUGACUGCCCUAUGGGUUGUAAACUUCUUUUAUAAAGGAAUAAAACGAGGCACGUGUGCCUUUUUGCAUGUACUUUAUGAAUAAGGAUCGGCUAACUCCGUGCCAGCAGCCGCGGUAAUACGGAGGAUCCGAGCGUUAUCCGGAUUUAUUGGGUUUAAAGGGAGCGUAGAUGGGUUGUUAAGUCAGUUGUGAAAGUUUGCGGCUCAACCGUAAAAUUGCAAUUGAUACUGGCAGUCGUGAGUACAGUUGAGGUAGGCGGAAUUCGUGGCGUAGCGGUGAAAUGCUUAGAUAUCACGAAGAACCCCGAUUGCGAAGGCAGCUUACUAAACUGUGACUGACAUUGAUGCUCGAAAGUGUGGGUAUCAAACAGGAUUAGAUACCCUGGUAGUC